GACGAACGCUGGCGGCGUGCUUAACACAUGCAAGUCGAACGGAAAGGCUCUUCGUUUGUGGUGUGCUCGAGUGGCGAACGGAUGAGUAACACGUGAGUAACCUGCCCUUGACUUUGGGAUAACUUCAGGAAACUGGGGCUAAUACCUGAUAGGAUCUCCUGCUGCAUGUUGUGGGUUGGAAAGUUUCGGCGGUUGGGGAUGGACUCGCGGCUUAUCAGCUUGUUGGUGGGGUAGUGGCUUACCAAGGCUUUGACGGGUAGCCGGCCUGAGAGGGUGACCGGCCACAUUGGGACUGAGAUACGGCCCAGACUCCUACGGGAGGCAGCAGUGGGGAAUAUUGCACAAUGGGCGGAAGCCUGAUGCAGCAACGCCGCGUGCGGGAUGACGGCCUUCGGGUUGUAAACCGCUUUCGCCAGUGACGAAGCGUGAGUGACGGUAAUGGGUAAAGAAGCACCGGCUAACUACGUG
RNAcentral lists this ribosomal RNA (468 nucleotides) under uncultured bacterium. Its description in RNAcentral is "partial 16S ribosomal RNA". It matches the Rfam family "Bacterial small subunit ribosomal RNA", at positions 28 to 507 of the family's 1533-position model. The record is from RNAcentral.